CUGGCCAUUGUGCUGUUUUUAUUAAUUAAAUUGAUUAAGUAGAUUUGUAUCGUUGUAUUGGUACGCUGUUGAUAUGAUUUAAAUAAAUAAAGUCUGCAAAUUGUGUUAUAAUAUAUUGCAUACACAGCUUUCCUAUAUUCUGCAUUGAUUUUUGUUAUUAUUUAUAGUUAAUUUGCUGUGUUUGUUUGUUCUUGCACUGGCGCGUGAUUUUUCCUAUCGAAUCGAGGCUUUGUGCAGUUUUGUUUUCAGGUUAUAGUGGUGGUUUUUAUCCUCGUACCAGUAACGGAGGAUAGUAGGGGACACAUUUCGUUUAAACAAUUAGAGGAGCCGGUGAGAGGGGUGUUUCAGUAUGCAUGUGAUGGCUUGCUGCGUUCGUCGACAGAUGCCCGUAAAACUGCAUAGAAAUCCACUAGAGAGAGAAUAGAAACAUACUAGAGAUACACAACUUUAAAUUCUAAAAACUUUUUUAUUUAGAUGUUGCGGUAGUGCUUAUUUAAAAGAAGAACGCAUUAAUGUAGAAUAAUGCGUUCUUGUUUUAAAUAAGUACAUUAGAGAAUGACAAAAUAGGACAAGCGUUUUUGUUUUUAUUACGCUUUUUUCGAAUGAACUCGAUUUUGUACAAAAGCUUCUCUAGAUUUGUAAAUACUUUCUUUAAAUUAAUUUUUCAAGGAUGUAUGCUAAAUAAAAAUCCAAUUUAUAGGGUGCCGUAGUCAAGUAGUAAAACCCAUAGAAUUUCGUCCAGACCGUACUUCACAGCUUAUUUUUUUUAAGCUGAAUGCACACGCGGCUUCAAUUAAAAUUGUAAACAUAGCGUUUAGUCUCAGAACUGACACUUAAAAUUAAUUUAAAAAAAAAUAGAGGAUGCUACUCAAGGAAACGAUGACAAAAUUCGAGAGUGCUUAAGCAUUUUAGGUAUCGCGUUAGAUAUGUACAUAAUAUAUCAUACAAAUGUGAAUUUUCUAUUAUAUCAAUGUAUGUUUUAUUUUUAUUGCUUAGAUUGGUGGACGAGCUCACAGCCCACCUGGUGCUAAGUGGUUACUGGAGCCCAUAGACAUCUACAACGUAAAUGCGCCACUCACCUUGAGAUAUAAGUUCUAUAGUCUCAGUAUAGUUACAACGGCCGCCCCGCCUUUCAAACCGGAACGCAUUACUGCUUCACGACAGAAAUAGGCAGGGUGGUGGCACCUGCCCGUGCGGACUCACAAGAGGUCCUACCACCAGUAAUUACGAAAAUUAUAAUUUUGCGAGUUUGAUUUUUAUUACACAAUGUUAUUCUUUCACCGUAGAAGUCAAUCGUGAACAUUUGAUAAGUACAUAUAUCAUUAGAAAAAUUGGUAACCAAUUACCUGCGUGAUUCGAACACUGUUGCAUCGCUAGAUACGAUUUCACCGGUUGUCUUAUCUUUUAGCCUACGACGAUUUCAAAGGUUUUACAAAAGUAAAAAAAAAAUAUUAUAUGGAUGGUUCUCAAUUACAUAUUUAAUAAUAUCAACAGUUUUUUUAGAAAUAUCCUUCUAAAACGUGUACCCUCGGCAUAAAACUUUAAAACAUACGACUCGCGGUGGUCAAAUACAGAAAACAAAUCUCGAACUUUAAAUAAAUUCAAAGGAAAUUUGCUUAUCCAAAAGAUGUGGUUCGAGAGAAGGGCUAGUUAGGGUUGCAUGCGGUUCGUGCUGACUACGGAACCCUUUGCUGAGCGUUGUUCGACACGCAAUUGCUCGAUUUUUUGUUGAUAAUGGAACUAUAAAUCUUAGACCGUAAAAUAAAUAAUAAACUGGUGAUAUAUAAUAUUUAGAUUAACAGUAUUAAGAACAAAAAAUAUUAUUGAGCAUAUUAUUGAAGAUGCUAUAUAUAAUAAGGACUUAGUACUUCAAAUGUACAAUUAUCAAGAACUAAAUACUCGUAGUAUCAAAGUGAUAUUUACAAUAUUUUGUUCUAUGGUUGAGACAGCCUAAUGAAUCCCAGAGUUUCCAGGAUUAGCAUUUGAUAUGUUUGUUUAUGUUUAUAAAAUCAAAGUAUGCAAUACAUGUUUAUUGUAUUACGUUUGCAAACAAUAUAUUACAUAAUAUAUUUCAAAUAAGUUUUUAUAUCUAUUUAAAUGAAAGCAAUGAGCAUUUGAUAAUUUUAUCGAACGAUUAAGGAACAAUCGUUUUCAAUACAACCUAUUCGAGCGGUUGCAGUAAAACUUUUAAUUGAUCAAGUACUGGUAUUUGAAUUACCUAGUUUGGCUAUCAAUACGUUUGUUUAAAUUUUAUAUUGAUGUUGUUAUGUACGUUUUGUUUUGGUAAUUAAUAUAUCAUAAAAAUUUG
Molecule: long non-coding RNA, 2308 nt
Organism: Bombyx mori (domestic silkworm)
Lineage: Eukaryota; Metazoa; Arthropoda; Insecta; Lepidoptera; Bombycidae
Exons: 2
Source: RefSeq, a predicted model, not a curated record